UACGUAGGGUGCGAGCGUUAAUCGGAAUUACUGGGCGUAAAGUGUGCGCAGGCGGCAAAGCAAGUCGAGUGUGAAAGCCCCGGGCUUAACUUGGGAAUUGCGCUCGAAACUACUUUGCUGGAGUGUGACAGAGGAAGGUGGAAUUCCACGUGUAGCGGUGAAAUGCGUAGAGAUGUGGAGGAACACCAAUGGCGAAGGCAGCCUUCUGGGCCAACACUGACGCUCAUGCACGAAAGCGUGGGGAGCAAACAGG
Molecule: ribosomal RNA, 253 nt
Filed under: uncultured bacterium
Lineage: Bacteria
Description: partial 16S ribosomal RNA
Rfam family: Bacterial small subunit ribosomal RNA
Source: RNAcentral